RNAcentral lists this ribosomal RNA (1031 nucleotides) under Lispe apicalis. RNAcentral's name for it is "eukaryotic LSU rRNA". It matches the Rfam family "Eukaryotic large subunit ribosomal RNA", at positions 86 to 944 of the family's 3401-position model. The record is from RNAcentral. Lineage: Eukaryota; Metazoa; Arthropoda; Insecta; Diptera; Muscidae.
GCGGCGAGCGAAGAUGAGUUCAGCACUAAGUCACUUUGUCUUUAUGGCAAAUGUGAGAUGCAGUGUAUGGAAUGUUCAAUUUCUAGUAUGAGAAAUUAACGAUUUAAGUCCUUCUUAAAUGAGGCCAUUUACCCAUAGAGGGUGCCAGGCCCGUAUAACGUUAAUGAUUACUAGAGAACAUUUCCAAAGAGUCGUGUUGCUUGAUAGUGCAGCACUAAGUGGGUGGUAAACUCCAUCUAAAACUAAAUAUAACCAUGAGACCGAUAGUAAACAAGUACCGUGAGGGAAAGUUGAAAAGAACUCUGAAUAGAGAGUUAAAUAGUACGUGAAACUGCUUAGAGGUUAAGCCCGAUGAACCUGAAUAUCCAUUAUGGAAAACUCAUCAUUAUGAUUGUAAUAUGAAUAAUAUUAUAAUAAUGGUGUGCAUUUUUUCCAUAUAAGGACAUUGUAAUCUAUUAACAUAAAUAAUUUAUCAUAAGAUCAGCGACUUAAGUUUAUUCAAAUUAUUUUGCUUGCAAUUUAACAUAGAAUAAAUGUUGUUGAUUGGAUAAAGUGUUGAUAGUUUUAUUAUAUACAGUGCUGGAAUAAUUUAUUAUUCUAUAAUGGCAUGGCAAUCAUGAUUGUUGUGUUUAUUAUAUGCACUUGUAUGAUUAACAAUGCGAAAGAUUCAGGAUACCUUCGGGACCCGUCUUGAAACACGGACCAAGGAGUCUAACAUAUUUGCAAGUUAUUGGGAAUUAAAAACCUAAUAGCGAAAUUAACAUAACUUAUAUAAUGGGAUUAGUUUUUAGUCUUUUUAAGUCUAUUAAUUCAAUCCCGGGGCGUUCUAUCAGUUAUGUAUAAUAAUACUUGUAUUAUUUAUACCUCUAACGUGAGCGUACCUUGAGCAUAUAUGCUGUGACCCGAAAGAUGGUGAACUAUACUUGAUCAGGUUGAAGUCAGGGGAAACCCUGAUGGAAGACCGAAACAGUUCUGACGUGCAAAUCGAUUGUCAGAAUUGAGUAUAGGGGCGAAAGACCAAUCGAACCAUC